UUCGUAUCAGCUAGUUGGUGAGGUAACGGCUCACCAAGGCGACGACGCGUAGCCGGACUGAGAGGUUGGCCGGCCUCAUUGGGACUGAGACACUGCCCAGACUCCUACGGGGGGCUGCAGUAACGAAUCUUCCGCAAUGCACGAAAGUGUGACGGAGCGACGCCGCGUGUGGGACGAAGCCCUUCGGGGUGUAAACCACUGUCAGGGGUUACCAAGUUCUGAGGAGCCCCAGAGGAAGGCACGGCUAACUCUGUGCCAGCAGCCGCGGUAAGACAGAGGUGCCAAGCGUUAGGCGGUAUCACUGGGCUUAAAGCGUGUGUAGGCGGACUGGUAAGUACCUUGUGAAAUCCCACGGCUCAACCGUGGAACUGCUCGGUAUACUGCUCGUCUUGAGCCACUUAGGGGCUGUC
This 410-nucleotide ribosomal RNA is filed under the name uncultured soil bacterium. RNAcentral describes it as "bacterial SSU rRNA". It matches the Rfam family "Bacterial small subunit ribosomal RNA", at positions 235 to 662 of the family's 1533-position model. The record is from RNAcentral.